Molecule: small nuclear RNA, 107 nt
Organism: Myotis lucifugus (little brown bat)
Lineage: Eukaryota; Metazoa; Chordata; Mammalia; Chiroptera; Vespertilionidae
Source: Ensembl
GUGCUCACUUCAGCAGCCCAUGUACUAAAAUUGGAACGAUACAGAGAAUAUUGACAUGUCCCCUGUACAAGGCUGACAUGUAAAUACAUGAAGAGUUCCAUAUUAUU